UAUUAGGUAAAACUUACUAUCAGAUUCGAUUUUAGAGUAUUUAAAUCAAUUAUCUACACCGUUAAAUAUGAUUUAGGAUAUAUAAAACUCUUAGGAAUAAAAUAUUAAUUUUUUUCGGCAUCGUUUAUUUAGUAAGUAAAUUAUUUCAAAAUGAACGAUAAAAAUUGAACAAUCUUCAAAAUUUGAGGAUAAGACUUUUGAAUUCAAGAUCAAAGAUAGUAACCUUAAUUGAUCUAGAUAGUUAAAAUAUUUUUUAUCAAAAUUUAAACAAAUUUAGAUUUUUCUAUACCGUUAAACUACAAACUCUCUACAGUAGUUAUUGAAAAUAGAGAAUUUUGAAAUAGUUUAAUUAUAAAAUAAAUUAUGUUGAAAAAUAUAAAGUUUUUAUAGAGAGUUCGGCUACUAUACUCUUCUAAGGAUAUAUUUUAUUGCACUGAUACGUUUUCGGUCAUUAGAUCUAUCCCUUAAUCAUUUCCACCUGUUAGAUCAUGCUAUUCAACCACUCACUCACUCAAUUCUAAAGAAUCACCAUCAUUCUAACCGGAAACUACUAUCAUCCUAAACGCAUAUUUUUUUUAUCCAAUAGUUACAAAUUUAUAAAUAUAAAAAAAAUCUAUACUCAUAAAAGUAUAAUAUUCCUGUUAUUUUUAUAUCCAUGAUAUAUAAGUGUACAGUUAGUAUUUGGAUUUUCCAACUACUAAUUAUUCCCCUUUA
This 714-nucleotide long non-coding RNA is filed under the name Ananas comosus (pineapple). RNAcentral's name for it is "long non-coding RNA (ACOM_LNC024878)". The record is from RNAcentral. Lineage: Eukaryota; Viridiplantae; Streptophyta; Magnoliopsida; Poales; Bromeliaceae.